GUCAGGGAAGGAAAGCCGGCCACCUCCAGGGCACCCUCCUCAUUCAAGAUGCAGAAAGAAGAGAUGAUGGCUCCCCUCAAGUUCCUUCCUGCCCGAAGCCACCAGGGUUCAUUCUGUGGUCUAACUGCUAGCCCUCUACUGACAGACGGCCUUCCCUGCCACCUCCUACCAGGACAACAUGCUGGAAGGCCAGGUCUGGUACCCUGAACCCAGGAGCUUAAAGAGAGGGCACCCCAAGACUUAAGCGUGCAACUGGCAGUAGCUGUCUCUCGCACUUCACACACACAAGAGCGCUAAGCCCAGACCCCAGCGAUGGCAGGACUCAAAGUAGAAUUAGGCCCUGAGUCACAGCCUGGCAUGAGCGUGCCUGACCAAGACUGGCCAGCUUGUCCAGAGGUGAGACUUGGGUCACAAGCCAUCGUCCUACCUCCAAUGCCAGAACCUUCAGCCAGGUCUUACCUCCAGAGGUCGUCUCCAUUCCUGACCUUCACAGGCCCAUUAGGGCCUGCGGCCCGGGCCAGACUUGUACUCCACAGCCUGCAAAGCCAGAGGGCCAGGCUGUCUGCACCACUCCCCAUGAAGCACAUGACACCGCGGCUGCCUUUUGUGGUGCCCUCCCCGCCUCACUUAACCGAUUCACUGAUCCACCUAAGUGGCCAGGUCCCCUACCAGCCAGCCUGGGAGGACUCCCGGGGGCGGGGUUGAAGCCCAGGAGGAACAGAGAGCUAGGCGCUUUAAUUGGAGAACAAGCGCUUAGUGACUCCAGACACAGACACCCAGUCACAACGCACAAAGGCACCCACAACUGGGCCAGCCAGCCGUCAUGACCACCAUCCUGGCAGCCACUCUUGAUGGCAGACAAAUCCUUCACAAGCCAUUUUGUCCAGGGUUAGGAGAAAGAGUCUUAUCCUGAGGAAGUGGGCCCAAGGGAGGGGGUCCCUUAUGUACCUAAGACAUGACCUUCUUUGUUACAAUGCCUUUCAGAAGUCCCCAAGUGCUGGCUCUUGCAGAAGGACCUACCCAGGCAGUAUGGACUCUCAACGAUGG
Molecule: long non-coding RNA, 1047 nt
Filed under: Cricetulus griseus (Chinese hamster)
Lineage: Eukaryota; Metazoa; Chordata; Mammalia; Rodentia; Cricetidae
Description: lncRNA (ENSCGRG00015041976.1)
Source: RNAcentral